This is a non-coding RNA of Mycena albidolilacea, 92 nucleotides long. NCBI's taxonomy places the organism in Eukaryota, Fungi, Basidiomycota, Agaricomycetes, Agaricales, Mycenaceae. The record is from the annotation of a GenBank genome assembly.
GCACCCUUGGUGUAUGGAAACACACAUCUUACAGUUGUUGCAUUAGUCCAAUUCAUCGAGAUGAGUCCGGGGUUCGAAUCCCCGAGGGUGCA